CCCCUAGCUCUAGCUAAAUGUUUAGAAAUACAUAGUGAAAUGUUACAAAGAAAAUGAAGGAAACUAGAAUAUAAUGGAGAGGAUUUGAUUCUUCAAAAUCGUGGCCAAGGUCCCCUUUUAUAGGCAAAGGAACAUCCAUAAUUCAAGUAGGCAAUACAACUUGUUUCUGUCCAGCUUCAAGACAGCUGGAACAUGCAACUUAAUGCCAAUUUUCAGAUAUAUUGUACAGCGAAUUUGGACUUAUGAUCAACAGAUAAAUUAUUUCCACCUGAGUUAGAUUUCCAUUGGUUUAAAUAUCAGGUUCAUUGGAUCUAUAUAACUCCAGAUAUGACAAAAACAAUAAGUGCUGCUUCACAGGUAAAGCUGUAUCCGGCAGGUAACAAGCUGGACUUUUCACGGUAAUUUUGGCUACUUUGUGAUACGAAUUUGACUUCUUCCAAAACAUGAAAGUUGUAGAAACGUGCCUUGUCUUUCCAACCCAACUUGAAUCACCUCGAUCCAAUGUCUGAAGCUCAAAUUAUGAUCAUUUUACAGAUAGCUGCUUCUUGCUUGAGGCAGUCACUAUUUUUGACUUUUCAACAUUAUUUUCCUCCACUUGCUCCACUUGUUCUAAUUUGGAAAUACAAGUGAAAUACAUCAAAUAGAUACUCUUUCAAAUGUAUAAUACUCAUGCCACCAUGUAUGUAAAUACGUAUUUCAAUUAAUUGCAUUUUUAACCAUGUAUUUAUGGAAUGCAUAAUCAAUUCAAUCACAUACUUUUUUAAAUUGGACUCAUCCCGACCCUCAAUGGUCAAUUAUUUCGCUCUUCGCUCGUUGGAUGCACACCCUCAAACUUGAUUUUCUAACUAUUUUCCCAAGGUGUGAUUUAUACUAUUACUCACCCUCUCUAGUUUGGUUAGAUUUUACUAAUUGUAGCUCAACACAUCAAUAAAUGAGGAUUCUCCUUAAUUUUGACUGACUUAACCUCCAAGAAUCAACUAAGUUACUAAUCCCUUAUCAAAGGUCUAAUUCUCUAAAAUAAGUGUUUGGGACUUAAUCAAGGCAUGUAGUGCGUCUUCUGUUUCAUGAACCUGCUUUUUUUCAAGUUUGCCGUGUGUAUUCUGUUUCAUGCACUAGCCUAUCUCUUUUUAUGUUUAUAAUUGUCCUCAUUGGGCUCUUUUAGGGUAGCUUCACAACAUGGCAGCUUUUUCCCUUCUAUGCAAUGAUUAGUGCAAUGCCCCUCAUUAAACACUUAUUCUCGAAAAUCGAUCUUUAACUUAAGAUUUUUACCUAAUUAUCAUCUCAUUGGUCUUAAGCAAUCCACACAAAAUUUAACACACAUGGAAUCCACAUCUAUCUCAAUGUUUCCCCACAAUAGCUCAACCACCCCAAACUAUCAUAUAAUUGGUUUAGUGGAUUUUUUUUUUUUUUGGGUCAUACUUAAUUCUACAUAUUCUAUCCAUUGAUCCAAUCUAAAUAAUAUGUGAUUUUCAUGAAUAUUGUGCUCAAUGUAGAUCAAUCUAACAUGAACAAGCUUAAACUAAAUCAAAGUAGCAUCCCCUAGUCAUAAUAAUAUAAAAACAAUUUCAAAUAUUAUCAUCGGUCAGUAAGAAAUUUUUUUUUUUUUUUGAACAUUUUGAUUCCUUUCCCCCAACCUAAAUGAAACAUUGUCCUCAAUGUAAAGAUUAAAUGUGCAAAAUAUAUGAAGGACAAUAAGGAGCAAAAUUUUGAACAAAGGGACGAAUUUAGAGCUUUACCUGGAAAGUCUGCAUAAACUUAGCCUAAAUGAUCCUUCAAUUUCAAUAGUGAAAGAAAAAAAAAAAAGAAAAAAAAGAAACAACAAUAAAAGAAACACACCUAAAAAAAACACACAACAUUAUAAAACUGAAAAUAAACAUACAAAAUAAAAUAAAAAGAAAAGGAUAUCAAUCUUUAGAAUCAUGUAUAGCAACAGACUCUUCCAAUUUAGAGAAAUUCUCAAAAAAUGGUUUCAAAUCGAGAUUUGGUUCUUGAACACUUGAAAUCACUUGCGAAUUUUUAGAAUUAUCAUUGAAUUCAAAUUCAAGCGCAUCAUAUGAAGAUGUAGCGAUAAAUUGAUCAUCAACAAGUUGUUCAAUAAGAUCUACUUCAUGCAAAUCAUCUUCAUCUCCAUGUUGCUUGCAAAUGUUAAAAAUAUUCAUUUCCACGGUCAUAUUUCCAAAAGAGAGUUUUAAAAUACCAUUUCUACAAUUUAUCAACGCAUUUGAAGUAGCAAGAAAGGGACGUCCUAGAAUGACAGGUAUUUGUGCAUUCGAAUUUAAAACAGGAUGUGUGUCCAAAACUAUAAAAUCAACAGGAAAAUAGAAUUUAUCAAUUUGAACUAGAACAUCCUCUACAACCCCUCUUGGAACUUUUACUGAACGAUCAGCAAGUUGAAGUGUUGUUGUUGUUGGCUUAAGCUCUCCCAAACCAAGUUGCUCAUACACAGAAAAAGGUAAUAGAUUAACACUAGAACCAAGAUCAAGCAAAGCACGCUCUAUCCUGUUAUUCCCAAUCACACAAGAAAUUGUUGGACAACUAGGAUCUUUGAAUUUAGGUGGAGUGUUUUGUUGAACGAUCGAGCUCACAUUCUCUGUUAAAAAUACUUUUUGUUGAACAUUAAGUUUCCUCUUAACAGUGCACAAGUCUUUUAAAAAUUUUGCAUAUGAAGGUACUUGUUUGAUUGCAUCCAAUAAUGGUAUGUUAAUUUUGACUUGUUUAAAAAGUUCAAAAAUUUCAGAAUUGUGGUUGAGUUUUGAAAUUGGUAGCAAUUGUUGAGGAAAUGGAGCUGGAAUGGGACAUUUUUCAACAAUAGGUUCAGAAAUGAUCUUUUCCUCACUUUUGGAAACAUCAUUUUCUUGCUUUGAAGUACCACCAGAUUUUAGUUCUUUUGAAGGGAUGGUUUUGUCAAUAAUUUUUCCACUACGAAGAGUCGUGAUGGAGUUGGCAUUUUGUUGUUGACUUUCAGAAGAACUAGAAGCAUUUACAUUAUAUUGCUGAGAAGGAUUUGGUUGAGGUUGAGCAGGAAAUUUGCCUUUCUCUUGAGAAUGCAAAGAAGAGGUCAAUGAAGAAAGUGUGUUCUUGAUUUCAUUGAUGGCUUGUGAAGUUUGAUUAUUAAUAUUUGCUUGUCCUUGCAUAAAAGACUGCAAUGUUUCCUCAAGAGUCAUUGAUUGUGGUGGUGGAAAAGAAGGAAAUUUCGAAAGCCCUUGAGGUUGUGAUAAAUGAACACGAUUAUCAUCUCUCCAACUAAAGUUGGGAUGAUUUCUCCAUUGUUGAUUAUAUGUUUCUGAGUAUGGAGAAGAAAAAGGCUUUUUGAAAGUGUUCAUAGCAUUGGCUUGAUCAUAUAAAACUUCUUUGAAAACUGGAAUGUUAGGACAAUCAUGCGUAAGAUGACCAAAAGUUUCACAAAUGCUACAAAUUUCAUCAUUUUGCACGGGUUUAACUUCCUUUACUUUCCUUAAUUCCAUAGCUUCAACCUUUCUAGACAAACUAGCAAUCCUAGCAUUUAGAUCAUCAUCUUGACUCAAUUGAUAUUUUCCUCCACUAGAACUAGCAAGACUAGAUCUAAUUGAGUUUUCGAUUGGUUUUACUGUUUGCCAAGAUUGAGAAUUUUCAGCUAGAUGAUCUAGAAAUUCUAAAGCUUCAUCUGGAUCUUUAUCUAAAAAUUCGCCAUUGCACAUCGUUUCUACAAAUUAUUUUGUUUCAGGAGUUAGGCCCUCAUAAAAGAAACUUAUAGUACGCCAUUUUUCAAAACCAUGAUGUGGGCAUGUAUUUAACAAAUCUUUAAAUCUUUCUAAACAUUGAAAGUACGCUUCAUUGGUUUUUUGAGAAAAAUUUUGGAUUUGUCUUUUCAAAGCAUUAGUUUUAUGUGCUGGAAAGAAUUUCUUCAAAAACUCACUUUGCAUUUCUUGCCAUGUGCCAAUCGACCUAGGUUUUAAAGAGUUAAGCCAAGUUUUUGCUUUAUCUUUUAGAGAAAAAGGAAACAAUUUCAACUUAACAAUUUCGUUGGGACAAGUUUGAUCGUUAAAUGUUGCACAUACUUCCUCAAAUUCUUUAAGAUGCAAAUAUGGACUUUCGGAUUCUAAGCCAUGAAAAUUAGGAAGUAAUGGAAUCAUACCCGGCUUGAAUCGAAAAUUAUUAGCAUUAAGAGGAAAAAUGAAACAUGAAGGAGCAGAAUUUCGAGGAGGUUGCAAGUAAUCACGCAUGGUUCGUACUUGUUGGUUUUCAUUUUCAUCGUGUAUGCUUUCAUUAUCAGCCAUGGUGGAAGAUGUGAGUGAGUGUUGAGAUGAGUCAAAUAAAUUACUAAAGAAAGUUUCACAAUUAUCUUUAACUAAACGANNNNNNNNNNNNNNNNNNNNNNNNNNNNNNNNNNNNNNNNNNNNNNNNNNNNNNNNNNNNNNNNNNNNNNNNNNNNNNNNNNNNNNNNNNNNNNNNNNNNNNNNNNNNNNNNNNNNNNNNNNNNNNNNNNNNNNNNNNNNNNNNNNNNNNUCGGGGAUUCACUUCAGAUAAAUGAGUGGAAAUUGCACUUGAUCUUUAAUUUAACUUAUAUGAAAAUCAACUAAGGAGUGAUCUCAUAUGGAAGAUAAAACAUUGAUCACAAAUAUAUUAAAAGAUAGAUCUUGAUAAUUGUUUGAGAGAAUAUGUCAAAAUAAGUUGUUGGAAUGUAGAGAUUAUCUAAGCAUUUAUUGUGCCAAAAUUGUCAACAAUAAAUCAAAGUCUUUAAUAAACCAAAACCAUUUGUAGAACAUAUACUUCAACCGUGUAAGAAGAUGAACAUUGAAGAACAAAAUGAAAGAUCAAAGACAAUACUAAACAUUCAUCAAAGUUUCACCCUUAGCUCUAGCUAAAUGUUUAGAAAUACAUAGUGAAAUGUUACAAAGAAAAUGAAGAAAACUAGAAUAUAAUGGAGAGGAUUUGAUUCUUCAAAAUCGUGGCCAAGGUCCCCUUUUAUAGGCAAAGGAACAUCCAUAAUUCAAGUAGGCAAUACAACUUGUUUCUGUCCAGCUUCAAGACAGCUGGAACAUGCAACUUGAUGCCAAUUUUCAGAUAUAUUGUGCAGCGAAUUUGGACUUAUGAUCAACAGAUAAAUUAUUUCCACCUGAGUUAGCUUUCCAUUGGUUUAAAUAUCAGGUUCAUUGGAUCUAUAUAACUCCAGAUAUGACAAAAACAAUAAGUGCUGCUUCACAGGUAAAGCUGUAUCCGGCAGGUAACAAGCUGGACUUUACACGGUAAUUUUGGCUACUUUGUGAUACGAAUUUGACUUCUUCCAAAAAAUGAAAGUUGUAUAAAAGUGCCUUGUCUUUCCAACCCAACUUGAAUCACCUCGAUCUAAUGUCUGAAGCUCAAGUUAUGAUUAUUUUACCAACAGCUGCUUCUUGCUUGAGGCAGUCACUAUUUUUGACUUUUCAACAUUAUUUUCCUCCACUUGUAAUAAAUUGGAAAUACAUGUGAAAUACAUCAAAUAGAUACUCUUUCAAAUGUAUAAUACUCAUGCCACCAUGUAUGUAAAUACGUAUUUCAAUUAAUUGCAUUUUAAACCAUGUAUUUAUGAAAAUUGAAUUUACGGCAAGAGAAUUGAAAUUAGAGACUAACAUUAGUGUUUUCAAACAAAGUGAAUGUAAAAUGUCUUGUAAAUGAUAUAUCUUUGAAGCACUUUUAGACACUAAU
Molecule: long non-coding RNA, 5664 nt
Filed under: Olea europaea (common olive)
Lineage: Eukaryota; Viridiplantae; Streptophyta; Magnoliopsida; Lamiales; Oleaceae
Description: long non-coding RNA (OEUR_LNC004015)
Source: RNAcentral